This is a long non-coding RNA of Alosa sapidissima (American shad), 193 nucleotides long. RefSeq lists it as uncharacterized. NCBI's taxonomy places the organism in Eukaryota, Metazoa, Chordata, Actinopteri, Clupeiformes, Clupeidae. The transcript has 4 exons. The record is from RefSeq and is a predicted model, not a curated record.
AUUUGGAUGUGGACUGGUCAGCUUCAGGCCAUAUCAAAGUUUAUUGAUGCCAUCUUUCCUGGCUGUGUUUUUCACAGUUGUUUUUGAAAUAGCUGGCAUAUCAUUGGGACUACCUCUUCACACUAGGAAAUGCAAGGGUCCACCAUACAAAAGGAAAGAUGUGUACUGGGGACUUUGUGCUGCUGUGCCUAUG